AAGAGAGGGGAGGGGAGGGGUAGGACGCGAGAAUUGUGAAUUCCGCGCGGGGAGACGAGGCAGACCGGCUAAGAGGCGGGGCGCCCAAAUCAAGAGGAAGCAACCUGCUGCCUGAGUGAGUCCAUCUGCGAGGCUCCUGCCAGUGCCGUUGGCGAGUGCGGACGUGGAAACACCUACACGCACGGACUCACGCGUGUGGAUGUGCGUGCGCUGCGUCGGGCCGAGUGCGGGGUGUGGGUUUGCGUGCGGGUGUUGGAGUGUGUUGGUGCCUCGCUGGUGUGACGAGUCUGAUGUCGUUUCGUCCUUAUUUCCCGUAAAAAAGAGAAAGAAAUCGGUGUUUCGUAAACUUUGUGGUGGAGGGAAAAGCGAGGGGAGGGAAAUGUGUUCUCGCUCCGGCUGUGUGUCUUUAAGCUGAAGACUAAGAGGACAAAGAGGAACAGAAAGAGGAACAGGAGAGUCUUCUUGGAUUUCCUGUAGCCGCAGGGUCUCGAUCACCGCAUCACACAUAUGAAUGAUAAAGAAGGAUAGGAAGGAAAGAAAAUAUAAAGAGUAUGUAUUGAUAAAAAGCAUUCAUAAAAGCGUCACAUAGAGAAUGAGCAAGUGACGAGGCCAAAUAGGGAAAUAAAAAAGUUAAUUGGGAGAGAGAAAAAAAA
Molecule: long non-coding RNA, 653 nt
Organism: Penaeus monodon (black tiger shrimp)
Lineage: Eukaryota; Metazoa; Arthropoda; Malacostraca; Decapoda; Penaeidae
Exons: 2
Source: RefSeq, a predicted model, not a curated record